Molecule: long non-coding RNA, 1363 nt
Organism: Daphnia pulex (common water flea)
Lineage: Eukaryota; Metazoa; Arthropoda; Branchiopoda; Diplostraca; Daphniidae
Exons: 5
Source: RefSeq, a predicted model, not a curated record
AUAGGACUCGCGUCAUUCUGAUCCCAUUAGUGAGCUUCAUCUAGCUCUAUUGGAAGUGAUCAUGUUACGUUAUGUCAAUAGCAUGCCAUUUCUACUGACAGUUAAAAAUGAAGACAUGCGUGCAAUAUCCACAAGCUACACUAUUAAUAGAAAAAUGAAACCCGUUUGGCCCCGUAGGACCUUGUAUUGUCUCAAUAACACAUGCAAUGCGACAAAGGAAUGUGAUGGAUGUUCUGGAUCUCCAAACUAUGACCCUCUUAAAGAACACAGAGCUUAUAGAACGGCCCAGUAUAAUGCAGAGGAGGAAGACGUGGAUUCAUAAGAAGAAAGAGAUUCAAAUGAUGAUCUAUGUUACUAUGAUUACACAGAUGAGAAAAGUUCUGAUUCCAAGAAAUUGCUCUCUGAUUCUUCCGAGGAAGAUGAUAAACAAGACAAGGCAGAAGGUGAGAAUCAAGAAUUUGAAGGAUUCGAGAAAGCCAACAAUAAACAAUUUGAAAAAAGGGCCCGUAGGGCAAGAUAUAUUAAUAAUCAAGAAAGCAAAAAAAACUCAGUUUCGCGCCAUUUUCACGACAGUUUACAGUGUUUCUUCAAUUCCCACUGUAUAACUGUGAAUCAAUUUACAAAAUUUCAUCAUGGGUUACGCAGAGCGGUGCGGGUAACUAUUAAAAACAAAAAAAUGUUUGAGAAAACAGUAAUCCUUACAUUUAUAGCACAUCUGGAUGCCUUAACUACAGCCUCGACCCUUUUAACGAAUUUUGUCCCAAAUAUUCAGAUGAAAAAAUUGAACCGGAACUGUUUCACCCAAAAUUUGACCUAUCUGAUGAUGAAUCUGACUACGACUUCUAUUCUGGCAAAAAUGAAAGCAAAAAAGAGUCAGACAUUGAGACUGACAUUGAUAGUGAACAGGAAUGAGAAAUUCAGAGCGACAAGGAAGAGGGUACUGAUGAGGAUGAGGGUACCAACAUGGAUCUGAAGACUAACAAGAAACCCACCAAGCAGCAGGAGAAAGCAAGAGCCCGUAAGAAAAGAUAUUUGAAUAACAAAAGGAACAAGAAGAUCAAGCUGGACAUCGAUAGUCUGCCAGAGAAGUUUGUUGCCAAGUGCUCGACAGAAUCUGACAGCGAUUUAUAGUACAACAGCGAGAAAGACGCAUGGAAAUGACAAAACUUCCCAAUUUUUCUAAAGAUUCUUUCUAUCCCCAUGUUUGUUUGUGACUUGAAUGUUUGUUUGAGCUUUUGUCUUAUCUUCCUAAUUUGUUUCAUUCCAAUAAAAUUGUUUCCCAACAGAAAAAGAAUAGUGUUGAACUUACAAUUCUGACAUUGAGAACUGAAGUGAAACAAACAAUUCUAGAAAACAAAAAUUU